UGGCUCAGAUUGAACGCUGGCGGCAUGCUUUACACAUGCAAGUCGAACGGCAGCACGGGGUGGUAACACCCUGGUGGCGAGUGGCGAACGGGUGAGUAAUAUAUCGGAACAUGUCCGGAAGUGGGGGAUAGCUCGGCGAAAGCCGGAUUAAUACCGCAUAUGCCCUGAGGGGGAAAGGAGGGGAUCCGCAAGGACCUUUCGCUUUCGGAGUGGCCGAUAUCGGAUUAGCUAGUUGGUGAGGUAAAGGCUCACCAAGGCGACGAUCCGUAGCGGGUCUGAGAGGACGACCCGCCACACUGGAACUGAGACACGGUCCAGACUCCUACGGGAGGCAGCAGUGGGGAAUUUUGGACAAUGGGGGAAACCCCGAUCCAGCCAUGCCGCGUGAGUGAAGAAGGCCUUCGGGUUGUAAAGCUCUUUCAGACGGAAAGAAACGGUCACGGCCAAUACCCGUGACUAAUGACGGUACCGUCAGAAGAAGCACCGGCUAACUACGUGCCAGCAGCCGCGGUAAUACGUAGGGUGCGAGCGUUAAUCGGAAUUACUGGGCGUAAAGCGUGCGCAGGCGGUUUUGUAAGACAGACGUGAAAUCCCCGGGCUUAACCUGGGAACUGCGUUUGUGACUGCAAGGCUAGAGUACGGCAGAGGGGGGUAGAAUUCCACGUGUAGCAGUGAAAUGCGUAGAUAUGUGGAGGAAUACCGAUGGCGAAGGCAGCCCCCUGGGUCGAUACUGACGCUCAUGCACGAAAGCGUGGGGAGCAAACAGGAUUAGAUACCCUGGUAGUC
RNAcentral lists this ribosomal RNA (786 nucleotides) under uncultured bacterium. RNAcentral describes it as "bacterial SSU rRNA". It matches the Rfam family "Bacterial small subunit ribosomal RNA", at positions 20 to 795 of the family's 1533-position model. The record is from RNAcentral.